AUUUAAAAGCCUGUAAAUGCCAAAAUUGAAGAUAAGGGCUCGUCUCUGCCUCCUCUCUGCUGCUGGCUCUGCCCUGUCGGGGCGAAAUAAGAUUCCCUCUGUCUGUUGAUGAUCUGCUCCAUCUCUUGCCCGAAGCUGUCCGAACUUCUCAGGGCGAGCUUCGAAUAAUUUGCCGAACUCGUUGGCUUGGAUGGGCUUUUGGUUUCGAAGAUUGAAUGGACCCUUGCCAGACUGACGGCCUUUGCUCCUGGGUGAAGAAGCGUGCUGACUCAAUGCCUGGAGUUGUUUUGGUGAUGCCCUCAUCACCAUGCCUUGCCUCUUCUGCUGUUGUUGUCCAAACACCCUCCGUAGCUGAUCGCUUGGGGUCUAGUCACAAAAUUAUUCGAGCCUAGUUCGUGUACGUCAUGUAAACCAGAUUUGUUGACGCUCUUGCUGGCUCAAUUGCUGUGCGCAUUGUUGACGGCACUGCUGCUGCUGUUGUUGGCCUUGUUGCCUCGAUUGGCAACUCUGUUGGCAUUGCUCAAGUUUUUGUUCGGGAUCUCUUGAUUUGUUAAUGUCUAGUUCUCCUUGCACGAGCUGCUGCAUGCACCUGUGUUGGGAGGUUAAAUUUUAGAAUGAGUGAACUAAUCAUGCAUAAAUAAGAACAUAAAUGAACAUGUUACCUGGAAAAAUACGAGAUAACUUUUAUAAUACUAAAUAUAGUGACAUAACAUAAUCCAUAUAGAUAUUUUGACAGUUCAUUUGAAUCACCUUCUUUGGCACUGUUGUUGACCACUGUCUUGCAUCUGACAACGUCUUUGGCAGAUUUGUUGACGCUCUUGCUGGCUCAAUUGCUGUGCGCAUUGUUGACGGAACUGCUGCUGCUGUUGUUGGCCUUCUUGCCUCGAUUGGCAACUCUGUUGGCAUUGCUCAAGUUUUUGUUCGGGAUCUCUUGAUGUGUUAAUGUCAAGUUGUCCUUGCUCGAGCUGCUGCAUGCACCUGUGUUGGGAGGUUAAAUUUUAGAAUGAGUGAACUAAUCAUGCAUAAAUUUGUUGACGCUCUCGUUGGCUCAAUUGCUGUGCGCAUUGUUGACGGCAUUGUUGCUGCUGUUGUUGGCCUUGUUGCCUCGAUUGGCAACUCUGUUGGCAUUGCUCAAGUUUUUGUUCGGGAUCUCUUGAUGUGUUAAUGUCUAGUUCUCCUUGCUCGAGCUGCUGCAUGCACCUGUGUUGGGAGAUUUGUUGACUCUCUCGCUGGCUCAAUUGCUGUGCGCAUUGUUGACGGCACUGCUGCUGCUGCUGUUGGCCUUGUUGCCUCGAUUGGCAACUCUGUUGGCAUUGCUCAAGUUUUUGUUCGGGAUCUCUUGAGGUGUUAAUGUCUAGUUCGUCUCCUCGCUGUUCAAAUUGCCUCUCACACCUUGUGUAGGUCAGAAGGUUCAGUUUUAGAAUAGUGGCAAUACAAAUGUUAGAUAUUGUUUUAUAAGAUCUUUUAUUAAAUAUUUGAACCUCGGUAUAAUUCAUUGUAAACAUAACUUUGAUUUAAUCUCAUGUUAUAAAUAUCAGAGCCCUAAAAUUAUUAAUCACCUCUGUUGGCAUUGUUGCU
Molecule: long non-coding RNA, 1578 nt
Organism: Rosa chinensis
Lineage: Eukaryota; Viridiplantae; Streptophyta; Magnoliopsida; Rosales; Rosaceae
Exons: 5
Source: RefSeq, a predicted model, not a curated record